CCUACGGGGGGCAGCAGUGGGGAAUAUUGGGCAAUGGACGCAAGUCUGACCCAGCAACGCCGCGUGAAGGAAGAAGGCUUUCGGGUGGUAAACUUCUGUUAAGGGGGAAGAGCAGAAGACGGGACCCCUUGAAUAAGCCACGGCUAACGACGGGCCAGCAGCCGCGGUAAUACGUAGGUGGCAAGCGUUGUCCGGAUUUACUGGGUGGAAAGGGCGUGCAGCCGGAGAGACAAGUCAGAUGGGAAAUCCGCAGGCUCAACCGGCGAACGGCAUUUGAAACUGUUUCCCUUGAGUAUCGGAGAGGUCAUCGGAAUUCCUUUUGUCGCGGUGAAAUGCGUAGAUAUUAGG
This 348-nucleotide ribosomal RNA is filed under the name uncultured bacterium. RNAcentral's name for it is "partial 16S ribosomal RNA". It matches the Rfam family "Bacterial small subunit ribosomal RNA", at positions 338 to 701 of the family's 1533-position model. The record is from RNAcentral.